RNAcentral lists this transfer RNA (73 nucleotides) under Camelus bactrianus (Bactrian camel). It matches the Rfam family "tRNA". From Rfam's summary of the family: Transfer RNA (tRNA) molecules are approximately 80 nucleotides in length. Their secondary structure includes four short double-helical elements and three loops (D, anti-codon, and T loops). The record is from Rfam by way of RNAcentral. RNAcentral also lists the same sequence under 2 other names. Lineage: Eukaryota; Metazoa; Chordata; Mammalia; Artiodactyla; Camelidae.
GAGGGUAUAGCUCAAGUGGUAGAGCACGUGCUUAGCAUACACAAGGUCCUGGGUUCAAUCCCCAGUACCUCCA